GUGCUCACUUUGGCAGCAUGUGUACUAAAAUUGGAAAGCUACAGAGAAGAUUAGCAUGGUCUUUGCACAAGGAUGGUACAAAAAAAUCCAUGAAUAACACUAAACUGUA
RNAcentral lists this small nuclear RNA (109 nucleotides) under Propithecus coquereli (Coquerel's sifaka). The record is from RNAcentral. Lineage: Eukaryota; Metazoa; Chordata; Mammalia; Primates; Indriidae.